AUUAUAUGUAAUUAUUUGCAGGCAAGUUGGUUUUUCACAUUUUUAAACACAUUUUAAUCUAAAAAUAAUGCUUAUUAAGUGAACUAUUAGAAAAUGUAUGUAUGUAUAUAAAGUAUUAUUUUUGUGUCGACAUUAUAUUGUUUUUUUAGGGCUAGCUUAUGUUUACCGAUAAAAAUGUUAAUGAUUUUUCGAAUAUUUUCAAAGCAAAGGAUUCAAGCUACGAACUUAAAAUUGUUGAUUAUAUUUUUGUAAAUAUAAUUUUUUAUUCCAAUUCUGCAAAUAUAAUAAAAAUAAGUAUUUGUGCCAGACAGGUAAAACAUACAAUUAUUAAAAUAUGGUGUAUAUAUUUUGUUUAUAUUUAUUCAACUAUUUUUUUUUUACUACAGUUGGGCAACUCUGAGAGCAAGAGCAACAAUUAGAGCCGGCCGGCUAGCCAGAGGAAAAAAAGGCAGCCAAGCAUUAAGCAUUAAGCAGCGACUGCAAAAGCAACUGCAAAUGCAACUGCGUUUGGAGAUUGCAGUUUGAACUGGUUUUCACCUGAGCUUGUAAACUCGGUUUGGAAGAAGAAGAAGAAGAUCGCCUUGGCGACCGGAAUACACCAAUGAGCAUAUUUAUUGACAUUGGCAUGCAAUUUAAAUGGCCGCGACAGUUGAGCAUUGAGCAAAUGCCAAACCGUUGGGCGAAAGUCGACAGCAGCGGUCACAACAAUAGACUGUGACUUGGAAUCAAGUGCCAUUACCGCAUCGAAAGCAAAAAAAGGGAAAGAAGAAAGCGACGUGGAAACAAGGAAGAAAAUAGAACAUUGAGCUGAUUACAUUAAUUUAAAGCACAAAUGAAUUGCUCGACGAAACGAAAGCGAAGAAGAAGAUGAUGAAGAAAAAAACUGAAAAACGUGGAUGCGAAAUAAAUAAAAAGUAAAGUAUUAAAAAGUGAGCAACAAUCAAAUACAAUAGCUGGCGGAGAUCAUAUUAAGGAGGGUUUCGAUGAUUUGGGAUGCCUACACGGGUAAAAAAAAACGUGUGGAAAAUCACGCACAUCGUCUCCGAGAAAAAUGUGGGGGACGAAAAGAAAGCCGAAAAGGGGGUGGUGGUUGGGUGGUUGUGUGGUCUGGUACAAUAACAAUAAGUGGGUGGUUCAUGCGGUUAGGUCAGAUUGAGGAGUAGGCCUGACGAUGCCAACGAGUCAACAAAAGAAAUUGCUAAUGUGGGCAAAUAAAAAUGGAACAAAACAAAUACAACCACACACACUCACACACACUAAGGCAGCCCAGCACACACUCACACACACACAUUCCCAGUCAGUAUUAGACAAUUGAAAUUGAAAAUCAGUGAAACCUGUUUUCACACACAAAAGCUCACGCACGGCAAGCUUAGGCGCACAAAAUUGCAAAAAAAAAAAAUAAAAAAAAAGAAAUAAAAAAAAACGAAAUGAGAAAAUGGCAAAUAGAAAAUGGAAAACAAAAGAGGAAAAACCAAUGCACAGACACAGAGCCAAAGUUGGGGUCAAAGAUGAAAUGCACUCAAAGCGCAGAAAAAAAGAGAGCCAGGAAAAAAAUAUUAUAUAAAUUGUCAACAACUUGGAGGAAUUUUAAUAAGGCGGAAAAAUAUAUACAUUGCCAUCUUAGAUAUUUGCAAAUGAUGUAUUAUUAUAAACACUUUCAAAAAUAAACAAAUCGAAUAUA
This is a long non-coding RNA of Drosophila elegans, 1681 nucleotides long. RefSeq lists it as uncharacterized. The transcript has 4 exons. NCBI's taxonomy places the organism in Eukaryota, Metazoa, Arthropoda, Insecta, Diptera, Drosophilidae. The record is from RefSeq and is a predicted model, not a curated record.